Molecule: unclassified non-coding RNA, 314 nt
Filed under: uncultured Tomentella
Lineage: Eukaryota; Fungi; Basidiomycota; Agaricomycetes; Thelephorales; Thelephoraceae
Description: sequence contains ITS2
Source: RNAcentral
AACGCACCUUGCGCCCUUUGGCCAUUCCGAAGGGCAUGCCUGUUUGAGUAUCAUGAACACCUCAACUCUCAUGGCUUGCCAUGAUGAGCUUGGACUUUGGGGGUCUUGCUGGCCUGUGGUCGGCUCCUCUCAAAUGAAUCAGCUUGCCAGUGUUUGGUGGCAUCACAAGUGUGAUAACUAUCUGCGCUCGUGGUUUUCCACCAGGUAACCUUCAGCAAUGGAGGUUCGCUGGAGCUAAUAAACGUCUCUCCUCGGUGAGGACAGCUCUUUGAACGUUUGAUCUCAAAUCAGGUAGGACUACCCGCUGAACUUAA